AGGGCUUCAAAAUAUCAAACAUGCUGAGGAUGCUUUGGAGGCCAAACUGAGGGACAAGAAGCUCAGUGAAAUACAUUUGAAAUGGGAAGGUGACACUGCUGAUUCUCAAAACGAUAGCCGAGUGCUGGGCAACCUGCAGCCCAAUACAAACCUAAAGGUACUGGCUAUAAAGGGAUACGGAGGUAUAAAGUUUCCAGGUUGGUUAGGAGAUGAGUCUUUCUCUAAUCUCAUCACUCUCCGACUUGAGAAUUGUGGAUAUUGUUUCUCCCUGCCAGCAUUGGGGCGGCUAACGUCCCUCAAAAGGCUUGAAAUUGAUGGGUUGAAUGGAGUGGAAUUAGUGGGGUCUGAGUUUUAUGGGCCUGCAUUUAAAUCUCUGGAGUUUCUGAGUUUCCGCAGUAUGCGGGAAUGGCAAGAGUGGUGUUUCCCUGGAGGUGAAGAAGAAGAAGGCGGACAUUUUCCUAAUCUUUGCGAGCUUAGUCUGGAGAACUGUCCCAAACUAACGGGGAAAUUACCGUUAUACUACUUCCCAAGACUUGAGCGGCUAAUUUUGCAGAAAGUUAAUAUCGAAUCCCUUGCUUGUUCGCAAGAAUGCAAUAAAUUCAAUAUUGAACUCCCAUCCCUCCGUGACUUGGGAAUAUCAGAUUGCCCGAAUCUGGUAUGUUUUGUGGGUGGUGGAGUGCUGCUUGCGCCCAACUUGAAGAGGAUAUCUAUGUGCCGUUUUAAAAACUUGUGGUCAGUGCCAGAGGAGAUGCACGCCUCUCUCCCGUCUCUUCAGUCUCUGUCCAUGGAAGAGUGUGAAGAAUUUAAAUCAUUUCCUGAAGAAUCUAAAUUCCCAUCCCUCUAUUAUUUGAAGAUAAAGGAGUGCCCAGAAUUUGUGGGUUUCCCCCAUGGAGGACUGCAAGCGCCCAACUUGAAGAUGAUGAAAAUCUAUGAAUGUAACAAAUUCGGGUCAGUGCCAGAGGAGAUGCACGCCUCUCUCCCGUCUCUUCAGUCUCUGUUCAUAGAAGGGUGUAAAGAAUUUAAAUCAUUUCUGGAAGAAUCUAAAUUCCCAUCGCUUGAUGAUUUGAGGAUAUACAAAUGCCCAGAAUUUGUGGGUUUCCUCUAUGGAGGAGGACUGCAAGCGCCCAACUUGAAGAGGAUGGAAAUCAAAGAAUGCAAUGAAUUCAGGUCACUGCCAGAGGAGAUGCACGCCUCUCUCCCGUCUCUUCAGUCUCUGUCCAUACUAGGGAGUAAAGAAUUUAAAUCAUUUCCGGAAGAAUCUAAAUUCCCAUCCCUCAAUAAUUUGUAUAUAAUGAAUUGCCCAGAAUUCAGGUCACUACCAGAGGAGAUGCACGCCUCUCUCCCAUCUCUUCAGUCUCUGUCCAUAGAAGGGUGUAAAGAAUUUAAAUUCCCAUCCCUUAAUCAUUUGUGUAUAAUGAAUUGCCCAGAAUUCAGGUCACUGCCAGAGGAGAUGCACGCCUGUCUGUCUCCCUUCUCUUCAGUCUCUGUACAUACAAGGGAGUAAAGAAUUUAAAUCAUUUCCGGAAGAAUCUAAAUUCCCAUCUCUCUCGUAUUUGAAUAUAUGGUAUUGUCCAGAAUUGGAAUCAUUUCCGGAAGGGGGAUUGCCGUCCAAAUUGCUUUCACUCAGAAUCGGGAGUUGUAAAAAACUGAUGGCAAACCGUAUGCGGUGGGGUCUACAAACACUCACCUCUCUCGAAAGAUUGGAUGUCAGCUUCUCAGAAUGUGAAGAAGAAGAAAUUGGCGAAUCAUUUCCAGAAGAGGGGCAGCUGCCAACCACUCUCACUUCUCUCGGAAUCUUCCAGCAUCCGAAUCUGAAAACAAUUGACGGCAAGGCGUUAAGACACCUCAUCUCUCUCAAGGAGUUGAACAUUUUUUUUUGUCCUCGACUCCAGAGCUUGCCAGAUGAAGGGCUACCCACUUCUCUUUCUGGUCUAGAAAUCCGCGAGUGUGAUUUGCUAACACAACGGUGCCGGAGAGACACGGGAGAAGAUUGGGCCAAGAUUUCUCACAUCCCCAAGGUAGUGAUUGAUAACCGAAAGAUAUGAUUUGCAAUGGUACGUAAUUCAUCAACGUGUGUUUAUGUGUUUAUUUACGAUAUGGCUGUGUAAAUUUUAAAUCAUAAACAUGUUUCAAAUGUUAAUGUUCACAUAAUAACAAAUUUUACAGGUACUCUUGUCCCAUAUAAACUUGAAAGUAUUUGCGAUAGAAAGAUACGGAGCUACAAAAAUUCCAAAUCGGUUAGGAGAUGACUUGUUCGUUCUCUCAUCUUGUUACUCUUCGACUUGUGGAUUGUGAACAUUGUUUUUCAAUGCCAGCAUUGGCACAGCUACCAUCUCUCAGAAGGCUUGACACUGAUGGGUUAAAUGGAGUGGAAUUGUUCCUCUUUUCUUAUUGUGUCUUACGGUGGUUCUAUUAUACGACAGUUUGUUGUAUCGAACUAGUCUUCGGUGAAAAAGGAGCUUCAACAAGUCUAUGAGCUCUAGUUUUCGAAUUUCCUUUUUCAAGUUUGUUUCCAAAUUAUGUCUAUUGAGAGGUAGAUUUUGGUACUUUGUAGAAUUCGAAUUCAAAUGUUUGGUUUGUAAAAUAUGGAUGAUGAUUUCAUUUCUGUGGAACUGUGAAUCUAUGAUCAUGCUUGAAUGUUGUCAGACCAUUAUCUAUUCUAAAAUUGAGGAGGGAUUUGACUGUAGCUUAGCUACAGUCAAAUGAUUGACCCUCGAUUUUGCUUUAUUUACAUCACUACCAUUAUAUCUCUGGCUGGGUUGGAAGGGUAAUUAUUACAACUUAGAAGGGUAAUUUUGUCCGUGGGUUUGAACCGAAUUUCACUUUUAUUUACAAAAUUGCCACCGCCUUUUCCUUCCCUCUUUCUCUCUCCCGACUCUCUCUCGGUAACCAUCCAUCAAAUCCCCAUCCUUCCCUUUUCUCACUCUGUAAGUCUCAUUUCCUACAACCCUAGAGCACCGUUUCUCUCUCAUUUCUCUCAAAUUUGACUCAGGGAGAGAGAGGGAAGGGGGACAGAAGGGUUGACAGGUUGGAGGGAGAGGAUCGUCGGGAUUAGGGGAGAGGAUUUUCGGCAGGGAGGUAUGGGUUUAGGGAGAGAGAGAGUAAGGGAGAAGUAUGGGGUAGGCGGAUUUCCAGGGAUUUCUUUUCACCCCUUCACUCACCACGAACCCACCUUUCCCUUCUUUUCUUCCGUCCUCAAAUCUUCUGAUUUCCCUCUCACAAAAUACCCACCAAGGAAACCCUACUUUUGGUUUAUUUUGGGAUUUUGUUUGCGCUCUCGAUUUUCAGACGACGGGCCAAUUGGUUGAUAUUUGGAUUUCUUCUCCUUUUGUCGAAACGCACAAAUUUUGUUUCGGUGGGAUUGGUCUCGAAUAGCUGCGUGUGUCUACCUUUCCAAGGUAUGGUGUUCACCGAUGGCAUGUUUUAGUGUGUUUCUGUUUUUUUUUUCUUUGUUUUGUAUUUCUAAUUUAUCGUUUGCUGCUUGACAAUGGUGAUUGUAUGUUUUAGUUUGGAUGUUUUUCUGAUUUUGGUUUGGUCAGUUUUUUUGGGCUGCUUGAGAAAAUGUGAUCCCAUGUUUUGACUGAGUGAAAUAAUUAAUAGAUAAAAAGAGUGGAGAAUUAGUGUCAAGAGUAGUGAUGGAAAAAAUGAGGAAAAAAAUAUAGAUGUGGAAGAAAAAGGGGGGGGGGCUGGAAAUCGAGCAAGGUGAAGAGAAAAAAAAUAGGGGUUAAGUGAGCAGCCAAAAGAGAAAAAAAAUGAGGGGAAAAGGCUUAAUUUGGGGAGUGGGCAAAAGAGAAAAGCAAGGGAAGGGAGACAGAACAGGAACAAGGUGUGGUUUUGUUGUUGGUUUUAUCCAAAUUUUUGAUUUGGCAUUGGUUUGAAGCUUAUGUGUUAUUAGUAUAGUCUAAUUUAGUGUUGGUUUAUCUAGGUUUGUAGCUAAUUUAAUGUUAAUGUUGAUCUAGGCGUUUUAAUUUGUUGUGAACUUAUAUGAGUUUCGUUUUUUAAUUGUUAUUUUACAGUUGCUAGGGAUGACUUUGGCUUUUAUAUUGGUUUGGGUAUUUUUUUUUUUCAUUUGAAGAUUUAGUGUCAUUAUACACCUUUGCACCACUGUUUGUUCUGUUUUUCUCGGUUUCUGUAUAUAGUUUUGGUACAAUUGGACUGUUCUUUUUAACUUAAUUAAAGUUUUUGAGACUUAAUUGAAUGAAAGUUUAGUGUGUGUUUUGGACUAAUGGUUUUGUGUUGUUAUGUGGGUUUGUGAAGAUGGAUGGAUGUGUGGCUCGGUUGCAGGAGCUGCAGUACACAGUUUCGGGCGGUACGAAGGUGAUCUCAGGAGUGAGUCUCAGCCCUGGGAGUUCUAGAGGUUAUCUCAGGGCUAGCCUCCGAUGCAAACAAGAAACUGCAAGGUAAUUGAGAAUCUGAUUUUAAUUUGAUUUGUACAAACCAGGAACAAAAAAUCCCAGCUUUUGCUUGAAUUUGAAGUUUUUGAUUUUGAUAUUGGAACUGAAAUGGGUCUUUUGAUUUAUGCAGGAUUAAAGGCUCAGCCCCUAGAAAAUCUCCUGUUGGCAAGUUUCCAGCAAAGGCAGGAGGUAUCUCCCUCUCUCUCUCUCUCUCCCUAAAAUCAUAGACGUAUGGCCAAAUGUGUUUUUUGACAAGAAAGUUUAUCCUUCACUUUUUUUCAAAGAACAAAAUUGAGUUUAGAUUCAAAAUCUGAACCUUUUGUUUUUGAAAAUACGACAUUCUAAACAACAGAAGCUCAUUACUUUUUGUUUUUUAAUAAAGCCAUUACCAGUUUCUGAAUUGAUUCUACAUUUUACUCUGUUUUUAUGCCUAAUACCGUUUGUUUUCCAUUGGGUAGCUGUAUAAGUUUUCCAUAAGCUUCGAUCAUCUCCCCAAUAAACCCAGAGCCUCCUUCUCUCCCGCUAAGCAAAAGAAAAUCAAGGAGGCCUGCAACUUCGUUUGCAGUCCGCCACUGCAAAUCAGUCUGGAAACUGGAUUCAAAGGUAAAACACACCGAUGUCUUUGAUUUUGGUCUCUACUGCACAGUUUGACAGACAAAUGAUAAACCUAACACAUGCAUGCUUUGAUUUCCUUGGUAGGUCAUAUUUUUCACUUUCUGGAUGUGCAAAGUCUGGAUAGUACACAUCACCGGACCAAACCUUUAUCAGGUAAGGAAUUCCAUCGCGUUUGUUGAAAAUAUUUGCUUCCUUUCCUCUCAUGUAUGUGUAUGUAUGAUUGUAUGUGUGUGAUUUUAGAUUGUAAUGCAUCACAAAUUUGUGGCAUAAAAAUUGACAUUUGUAGACUUACCCUUUGUUUGGUGACUGUGAUAAUUGAGAGAAAGGAAAAUAAAAUUUCGAAGAUUGAUGCUUUUAUGUGAUUUCUUGGCUCUUUUUUUCAUAUGAUUUUCAUUGUAUGUGUGCCAGUGUAUGUCUCUUCUUGAAAAAUACAUGUUGAAAAUGGGAGAAAAUUUUGGACAUGACACGUUUAGAAGUGAGGUUUUUCUGAAUGAAGACACUUUUAUGAUUUGUUUGUAAUUUGUUUUGCAAAUGGGUAGGAAUGUCAUUCUAAAAGGAUAUUGGCAGGAGAGGGUGGAAUGUCAUUCUAAAAUAUGUGUAAUUCAAUUCUCUCAUUUUCUAUAGCAGAAUUGCGGAUUUCUAAAUCGAAAAGGAGAAAUAAACACUACAGCAGUUUAUGCAGAAGGAGCAUGUAAAAGAGAAGCACAGGUAAAGGUUUAUGAGGUCAGUUUGCUGUUUUCUUUUUAGUGUUUUCAAUUUGUUCCUUUUAGUCUGGCUGCAAUUUUUUAAUCUCUGGUUAUGCAUCAAUUUCUCUGCUUCUUUGUAAAUCUUGCAGGUGAGGACAACACACUUAUCGGGGCAAUGUCGGGAUGUUUAGGCUUGGGUGGAGACAUGGACUUAUGGAAGAGGUGAAGUAGCUUAGGUUUCUGUCAUUAGCUUUAUCUGUUCUAUGCAUCUCUGCAAUCUUACAAUGCUCCUUUAUUUAAUUGCAAGAUGUUGGGGACCGGUUACUGGAAUACAAGAUUUGGAACAAAAGUGGUUGACAAUGCAAGAGUCGAAAGCAAGUGUGAAAUUCACAUUGAAAAUGACAGGUGAGAAUGCUAAUCAUAUUCUAAAAAAAUGUUGGGUUUCCUGAUGAGUUCUCUAGCUGAAUUCAAGAGGCUAAAUUAGUGAUUUGGAGUUAAUUUUGUAAAUUUAUUGAAUAAAGUUAUUUGUUAUUUAGCUUAUCUUGCGUUUGGUUUGGUUUUAGGAGAGGGUUACGCAUGAUCCGUAGCUUCAUUCAACCUCGCUGUUUUCGUUAGAAUCACAAUUAAAGGUCAGUUUUUCCAACAUUUUUUUUGCUUUUUGCUGCAUGUUUGUGCAUGUUUGGUCUCUGAGAUUUUGUUUUUAGUCACUGUUGAUUUGUAGUUUAUGUCUUCCUUUAGCUACAUAUUGACACAUGUUUAUUCUCAGCAUUUUUUUGUUAUGGUAAGUGGUUUGGGGAGUUCUGUAUUAUUAUAUAAUCUUUGGGGCUAUUUUAAGUAAAAAUGAAAUGUUGACAUUGAUAUAGCAUACGGCACACUUAAUUCACACUCCUAUAUUCGGUUUUCAUGUUUCCAUUGCAACACUCUGCAUUUCCGAGCCAAUGAAUUUUUUGAUAAAGAUGUACUUAAAGCAAUUACAUGCUCUAUCAAGUAUGUUUUAUAUGUGGUUGUGGUAGUUGCAAGGAAAUGAAAUAUUUGUGCUGAUAAUUGGUAGUUUAAAUAUAUAGAAAUAGAGAAGAAUUAUAAAUGGAGCACCUAGGAUAUUUAACAUUGUUUUCUUUUCCAUGUAUUUUUUCUCAUGUUUAAUAUCUGCUUUUGCUUAUGCAUAUGAUUCAAGUGCUAUUUUUAUUAGUGUUAAUUUUGGGUUGCAUAUCAACAAACUAACCCAGUUAAUUUUGCUUAGUGUUCAUGUAUAACGAGAACUCUCAUUGCAUCAACUUGAACAAACAUUCUUCUACUUAGUUGCUUAGCUGCUGCAACAAGAACGAAACACUUUUUAUGUGUUUUUGUUUAACUGCUAAAACAGGUGAUUGGCCUCCAGGACAUAUAUUUUGCCAUCUUAACUUUAAAGGCAAUACAUAUGUAAAAUGCAUGUUGCUUAGGGAAACAGAGCAUUUUUUGCAACCACAUCUUUUGUAAUCAGCUUAGUUGAAUGUAUAUAAAAGUUAAGCUACUUAUCUUACCUACACCGAUCACUCAUCUAUCAUUUUUGUUCGUUCAUGAUUAUGUUGAAUUUUUUUUCAGGUUAAAUGUGUCUUAUUCAUGUAGUUAAGGAUGGUGCAUUCAAGUCCCGCAGCAACGCGCGGGCAUUUUUCUAGUAGUAUCGAAAACCCUCUGUUGUUUACCAAUCGAUCUCAAGCGGUCUAGAUUCGAUUUGUUUAAUUAGUACUGCAAGAUGAUCUUAUCUACUAAUCAUGUCUUAUCAAAUGAUUACCAUUUCAUCAUGCCCUUAGGGAUGCAUAGAGCUUCAAAAGUUUUCAAGUUGCUGCGCAUGUGUAGGUUUGAAGUCGUGCAAUGAUAUGUACGCGAAACUUAUGAGCAAACAAAAGCAAACAACUCUUAUACAUAAAUGUCGGCUGCCAGAAAAUCUCAGUAGUACCAGAGAAGAUAAGCUUGUAAUAAAUUUCUAAUUCUCAAAACAGAGCAAACAAGAGAAACAAGAUCUACAUAUAAGUACCCCUAGUUGGCCGGCACACAGGAUUUCUUUUACGAGCAUGUUCUUCAUUAUGGUGCUGUGUCCGACAUGCAUAUCCAUACCAGCAAUUUUCCCUGUUUGAUGCCUCUGUGGGUAGAUGAUAUUUGGGAAUCGAAAUCCGAAACCAGUACAAGAGGAAGGAGAUCAGCUUCUCAUAACAGUAAUUGCACGUAGGUGUCCCAGAAGUUAUUGCCUCAGCAUGAUUCAGGGGCAUCCUCGUUCGAUCAAUUUCUCUGUUGUUCAACUUUGCAAGCCAUUCUGCAAUAACAUCCUGUGAUGUUCUCCCCAACUGUACAGUACACUUCUCAGUGAUCACUUGUUCAUGUCGAUUGUUUUCAUGAGUUGAAGUAGGGAUUCCAGAGAUGGUCCAUUCUGAGAUUGGUUUAAAAGUCUCGCGACUGCACACAUGGUGAGAAUCACUUUGUGAAACCCCUUGCGCAUGCCAAUAUAAACUGCAAAAUGCCUUAUCACAUCCUAAACAGUGUUGAGGUACACUUAUUGGUGCACGAAGGCAUCAUUCCUCCGCAUGCUUGACAUUGCAGAUGGAUAGUGGUUUGAUUGCAGCGGAACGCACCAUAUUCAGUACCACAUUGAGGGCAUGGAUUUGAUGGAUUAUGAGCUUCUUCAUCCACCUGGGAGCGAGCCCUUUUUCUGCGAAGAUGUUUUCCAGAGUUUACGACAAUAUUAGAUUGUAUUGUUGCAUAAGAGUCUAAAAUUGCCACUUCAUCAUUGGUGCGUUUUAGUGAAUAGAAGAGAACAAGAUCUCUGAGCAAACUACAAUCUCAUAUGAAAUAAUUUCAACAUCCGGAUAUCUCAAGUCUGAUGGAACGAGCUUGGCCCAGAAUUCUUCACAGGGUUUUGCACCCGAGCUCUCUCCAACUUCUGCCAUCCCUUGAAUAUAUUCACAAAGGACCCAGAAACCAUUAAUUUAGAUCUCAAAGAUAAGUAACCGGCCAUUGUUAUGUUCAUUUAAAAAGAAACAAGUACUUAUAUAUUCAACUAUUUAUGAGCAACAGAGCAAUUUUAAUUUCUAAUUAUCGAACAAAAUCUUUACCGCUAAUUAGAUAAUUCAUCCAAGUACGAAAAGAAAACAGAUUUGCACUCAAACAAGACAGAUUCAUGAAAUAUGCUAUGGUAACGCCCCUAACAUUUCAACACCGAUAAACAUAUCAACUUCAUGUUUCAGACAUCCUACAACUACAUAUAUUAGAUCGUAACAAUUCCAACUAAAUGUAAAAGCUCUUAAAGACCUAGUUUGGGAGUGAGGUGCUUAAAAAAAAAACACCUAUGAAAAAAAGCUGUGAGGGUUUUAGGUGUUUGGUAAACUGAAAAAAAAGGGCUUAUUUUGGAAGCUGCUGUGAGAAUAAGCUGAAAUCAAAGGAAAAAGCUGAAGUUGCUAUUUGCAGCUUUGGAAAACUGGCUUUUUUUCAAAGCACACGGAGCUACAAUGCUCCUUUAAUGAAAAGACCCACUAUCAGACUGAUUUUCUUUCCAAAAGCACUUUUACAAAAAAGUUUACCAAACGCUCUGUUGAUUUAUUUCACAGCCGCUUAUUCUCACAGCACAGCCGCUUAUUCUCACAGCAGUUUUUUUUCAAAGCACAGCAAUACCAAACCACUCAAAGCAUAACGACAUACUAGCAAAAUUCAUGGAAGAUAGUAAGUGCCAAUUAACAAGAGAGUCAAAAAGGCUUGAGGAGAAGGGGUCCCCAGCAGCGGCAUCAUUUCUGGCCGGAAAAGGUUCAUUCUAGUAAUAUAAUUUAUACCACAGAACACAUACAAACAGAUUUAAGGAGACACAAUUGUCAUUCUAAAAGAGACACUUUCUCAAUUCUUGAAUUAAAACCUGGACUCCAAGAUUGCAAAACCACAGAAUGUGGUCCCCUUUACAAAAAUGUAUAUCAUGUUUACUCUAUGUUCAUAGUUUGAACCUUCGUUUAUGCAAUCUCGCUCUUGUUUUUGUUCUCUUGUAUGACCUAAUUUUCACACAAUUCUCACCGGAAAACCAAUAGAAAUAUUUAUGAAAAUUGAUAGGUCUCACUUGGAAAUUGUUUCAAAAACCCUAACAACAAAAAUGAAAAGUUUGCAACUUUGGCCAAUAAACAAUCAAACGUGAAAAGAAUUUGAAACUUAUCUAUUUCUAAACACGUUUAUAACAUCUUAAGAGACGCGCAAUGUUGGUGAUAAAAAAGAUCAUUCACAUGCGGAUAAUAAUGUGAUUAAAUUAAUUGUCAAAUGACUGUUUUUUUUAAACGAUAUUAUCGAUACUAAGGGGGAGAGGUGUGUUUAGCCUCACAAUGGGCUAGCAACAAUGUGAUUCAAUCAGUUGUUUAUUAAAUAUUAUUUUAUCUAUUUUAAACACGUUCAAAAUAUCUUAAGAGGCAUGUAAUGCUGGUUAUAAAAAAAGUAUUUCGCACGAGGAUAAUAAUGUGAUUAAAUUAGUUGUUAAAUGAUUUUUUUUAACAAACGAUAUUAUUUACACUAAUGGAGAGGGGUGGGCUUAGUCUCACAAUGAGCUAGCAAUAAUGUGAUUCAAUCAAUUAUUUAUUAAAUAUUAUUUUCUCUAUUCUUAAUGUAAAUUCUAUAGAGACCGAUUUUAUUAUGUGAAUUCAGCUGGUUUAAUUGGUUUAUGAAGGGUUUCUUCUAGCAUGAUCUAAGAUUAUUCAUUUACUUCAAAUAUUUAACUUUCAUUUUGUCAAUUUACACACAAUAUAUACAUUUAAAAAACGUGUAAGUCGUGUAUAGCACGUCGUGAUUCAAAAAAUAUCCUCUGCACGUGCGUAAGCAUAUGCACGGAGGCUAGUAUAUACUAAAGUGGAAUGAGAAAAACAUUGUUCAUAAGAAACAAUGUUUUGACGUUUUUGCCCUCAUUUUUAGUGUUUCUGUGUUCCUAGUUUUUGUGCUGUUGAAAUCCCCACAUUACCAUAUAGGCAUACGUGUGUACGGAAAAAUGUUUUUCACGCGUGGCAUAAGGAAAUUUUCUCUGCAGCACCGUGUUAUUCCCCUGGGAGUCUGCAGCACCGCUCAACCAAAUUUUCUCUCAUUCCGUACUUCUCCACCUCUUCAAUCGUGCUGCACCGUGAAUCGAAACAAAAAACUGCUCUUCCAAAUCAAUUUCAGUUAACUCAAAUCCCUAAAACCCAAAUUUCUCCAGACCAUUGGAAUCAGUUUGCCUUUGUUGUUGCUAAUCUACAGGUAAAGCUUAAAUUUACAUACAAUUUUUAAUUUUUCUUGAUUGGAAUUUGGAAAGAAUUACAGAAAAUUGGCGAUGUCCACCGAGUCGGAUGCGUGGUGGAGACUCGGAUGCUCGCUUCCCUGACGUCACUACGCAUCGAUAAACGCACAUCAUUUCCGACUACGUCACUUCUUUCUCUCGCCUCCUUUUCAUGGUUAGCUCCUCCUCCGUAUUUACUCAACGCCUAAUUUUGGCCUUUUUUUCUUCCUUCACUGAUUUGUUCUAGAGAUCGCAGAUUGUUGAGUCAGAGAAGAGGUACAUUUCCAUUUGGGGUUUUUUCCCAAUUGAUUGAUGCUGUAUUAAUUUGGAAUUUGCCCAAUUGGGGUUUGAGAUUUUUGGUUUAUAUGGUUGUUUUGAACUUUUGAGAAAACCCUUAUUUGUUUUAUUUUUUAAGAAAAUUAAUGAAAAUGAUUUGAAAUCUUUGAAUUUUAGAAUAAGAACAAAAUAAAGGGUAAAGGGAACAAUAGCAAGAUUGACUUUUUAGUGUAAAAAUGUAAUUUUUCGUUAAAGUGAACAAUAUCGAGUAUUUUUUGUUCUUUAAGAGGGGAAUAAUGAUAUGAUCUGUAAUUAGUGAUUAGCUUAAUCACUUAUUCUUGGGAUUAUUAGGCUUAUUCAUGUUUUAGUGGAGUUUGUUAUAACUGCUAGCUGGCAUGAGGAGUCAUGACUGGUAUAAGAGCACUAGUUCUGAGUAUUGUAAUCAGAUCAGAAUUUACAACAAAGAAAAUAAAUACAAAAAUAUUUGGAGCUCUGCUCCUUCAUCUCUCCUUCCCUCUUCUUCCAUAGCUUUCUUGUGCUACUUGCAGGUUGAUUAAGGGAAUUGAGAAUUGGGUCUUAUCAUAGUGGAUCUUGACGAGCGGGCGGGCGGGCGGGCGAGCGAGCCAAGACUUAGUGGUUUAAGCUGGAGAGGUUUAUUUGGAAGAACCAAAGCCGUUUGAGCCGAUGCUGUAGCAGAUUGAACCGGUUCUACGCAGACCUCGCCAAAUCUCAGCCAUCAGAUUGCUGUCCGGACGAUCGCACACUUUGUCCGCAACUUAGACACGCCCUUGCAGUUAUAGCACCAAGGUGGGCCUGGGAGCAAACGGCUGAGAAGAAUUGAACAGAAAUUGGGCCAAACAGGAGCAAAGCGCUGCGCCAGUUGCUGUGGAAGGGAAUGUUGCUGAUGAUGCUGGACUGGGCCCGCAUAAUUCAAGGGCUGCGCUAGAUGCUCAAGCUGCUCGGCAGAGGGAUGCCAGGUUCCACGACCAACACCGCGUGAAUUAUUGUUAAAAUUUCCAUUUGCAAAGAAAAGAUUGAUCAUGGCGUUGAAGAUUUUUGCUUCUGCAGAUCCUCCUGGGUCUUUGAUUAGUUGUUAUACAUUCUCUUAACUCUGUCACAAAAUUUCCAUUUGCAAAGAAAAGAUUGAUCAUGGCGUUGACGGUGGUAGGUGGGGCCGCUCUCUCGGGUUUCUUCCAGCAAGUAUUUGUGAAGUUGGAUUCUCAGGAGGUCAGGAACUUCAUCAGAGGAAAGAAACUGACUGAUGGGUUGCUCAAGAAGUUGAGGAUCAAGUUGAUGUCUGUCAGUGCUGUUUAUGAUGAUGCCGAGCAAAAGCAAUUACGUAACCCACAUGUGAGGCUGUGGCUGCACGAGCUUAAAGAGGCCGUCCUUGAUGCUGAGGACCUACUGGACGAGAUCAAGACAGAAGCGUUGAGGCGGAAAAUUGAAGCUGAAUUUGGAAGUAGCACAAGCAAGGUACAAGACCUCAUCUCUGCUUCUUUCCAUGCUUUUGAUGAGUCUGUAGACACCAAGAUAGAGGAAAUUCUUGAGAGGCUAAGCUUCAUUGUAGAACAAAGAGAUGCCCUUGAUUUGAAAAGAGGUAGUAGACACAAAAUCUCACAAACAUUGCUUUCAACUUCUUUAGUAGAAGGCUCUGAUGUGUAUGGAAGAGAUCGUGAGAAGGAAACCAUCAUUCAACUAUUGUUAUCAAAUGAUGUCACUUGUAGUAAGAUUGGCAUUAUUCCCAUUGUGGGCAUGGGUGGGAUCGGAAAGACCACCCUUGCUCAGCUCUUAUACAAUGAUGAUAGAGUGCAGCAGCAUUUUGAGCUCCAGGCAUGGGUUUGUGUUUCUGAUGAAUUUGACGUUGUUAAGAUCACACAAACAAUUUAUGCAUCAGUCACUUCACGAACCUGUGAUGACCUAAACCAGCUUCAGGUCAAACUCAAAGAUGCUUUGGCGGGGAAGAAGUUUCUUUUUGUUCUUGAUGACGUUUGGAAUGAGAAUUACAAUAUUUGGGAAUCCUUAAGGCGCCCCUUCGAGUCUGGAGCUCAUGGAAGUAAGAUCAUUGUCACCGCAAGGAAUGGUGGUGUUGCAUCUACGAUGGGUACUCUUCAAACCCACUAUUUAAAGCACUUACUUGAGGAAGACUGUUGGUCUUUAUUUGCAAACCAUGCCUUCAAAGAUGCAAGUGUUAUUGUAGAUCCAAAUCUGGAGGUAAUUGGAAGACAAAUUGUGAGCAAGUGUAAAGGCCUUCCUUUAGCUGCAAAAUCGCUCAGUGGUCUCUUACGCUCUGAAUCAAAUGUGGAGGAAUGGGAAAAUGUGCUCAAAAGUGACAUAUGGGAGUUGUCAGAUGCAAAGAUUGACAUUUUGCCGGCUCUAUGGCUAAGCUACCAGUACUUGUCUCCGGAGCUAAAGCGUUGUUUUGCUUAUUGUUCGACAUUUCCCAAAGAUUAUUUAUUUGACAAGUCUAAAUUAAUUUUGUUGUGGAUGGCCGAAGAUCUUAUACAACCCCAAAAGAAGACUAGGUUGGAAGAUGUUGGAAAGAAAUACUUUGAUGAUCUAAUCUCACGGUCAUUUUUUCAAUACUCGUCUUCAAAUGAUUGUUUCAUCAUGCAUGAUCUGAUGCAUGAUUUGGCGACUUACGUAUCUGGAGAAUUUUGCAUUAGAUUGGAAGACCACAACUUCUCAUUGGACGUUGUGAGCAAGGGUCGUCAUUUUUCUUAUAUGCAAUAUUCAUCUAAUGUUGAUUAUGAGAGAUUUGACACUAUUUAUGAAGCUAAGUAUCUGCGCACCUUCAUUCUUGGCAAUCACUUUCCAUCGCCGAAAGUACGACUUGAUCUCCUUUUAGUGCUACAUUGUUUAAGAGUUCUCAAACUACGUGGGCAUGAUAUCACGGAGUUGCCUGAUUCGAUUAGCAACUUGAAGCAUCUACGGUACCUUGACUUGUGGUUCACUCCAAUCCAGAAAUUACCUGACACCGUAUGCAGUUUGUAUAAUUUACAAACGUUGUUGUUGUCAAAUUGUAUAUAUCUAGCUGAGUUGCCCACCGAUUUGAGAAGACUUAUCAACUUGCGCCAUCUUGAUUUCAGAGGUACAAAAUUAAAAAUGAUGCCCCCCCACAUGGGCAAGUUGAAAGAUCUCCAAACAUUUGAAGGUGAGUUUGUCUUGAGCAAAGAUGCCGGGGGAAACAUUGAUGAGUUAAAGGGGUUUCAGCAUUUGAGUGGAAAUCUUCAUGUGUCAGGGCUUCAAAAUAUCAAACGUGCUGAGGAUGCUUUGGAGGCCAAACUGAGGGACAAGAAGCUUAGUGACAUACGUUUGAAAUGGGAAGGUGACACUAUCGAUUCUGAAAACGAUAGCCGAGUGCUGGGCAACCUGCACCCCAAUACAAACCUAAAAGUACUGGUUAUAGAAGGAUACGGAGGUACAAAGUUUCCAGGUUGGUUAGGAGAUGAGUCUUUCUCUAACCUCGUCACUAUCCGACUUGAGACUUGUGGAUAUUGUUUCUCCUUGCCAGCAUUGGGGCAGUUACCCUCCCUCAAAAGGCUUGAAAUUUAUGGGUUAAAUGGAGUGGAAUCAGUGGGGUCUGAGUUUUAUGGGGGAAUUAAACCUGCAUUUAAAUCUCUAGAGUUUCUGAGUUUCUGCAGUAUGCGGGAAUGGCAAGAGUGGUGUUUCCCUGGAGGUGAAGAAGAAGAAGGCGGACAUUUUCCUAAUCUUUGCGAGCUUAGUCUGGAGAACUGUCCCAAACUAACGGGGAAAAUACCGUUAUACUACUUCCCAAGACUUGAGCGGCGUACGUUUGGAGGAAGUUAAUAUCGAAUCCCUUGCUUGUUCGCAAGAAUGCAAUAAAUUCAAUAUUGAACUCCCAUCCCUCCGUGAGUUGAAAAUAUCAGAUUGCCCGAAUCUGGUAUGUUUUGUGGGUGGUGGAGUGCUGCUUGCGCCCAACUUGGAGGAGAUAACUAUUUGCCAUUUUAAGAACUUGUGGUCAGUGCCCGAAGAUAUGCAAAUCUCGCUCCCAUCUCUUCCGUCUCUGUCCAUACAAGGGUGUAAAGAAUUUAAAUCAUUUCCGGAAGAAUCUAAAUUCCCAUCCCUCGUUGUUUUGAAGAUACAGGGAUGCCCAGAAUUUGUGGGUUUCCCCCAUGGAGGAGGACUGCAAGCGCCCAACUUGAAGGAGAUGGAAAUCAAAGAAUGUAACAAAUUCAGGUCACUGCCAGAGGAGAUGCAAAUCUCUCUCCCAUCUCUCGAGUCUCUGUGUAUAAGGGAUUGUCCAGAAUUGGAAUCAUUUUCGGAAGGGGGAUUGCCGUCUAAAUUGCGUUUUCUCAGUAUCUGGAGUUGUAAAGAACUGAUGGCAAACCGUAUGCGGUGGGGUCUACAAACACUCACCUCUCUCAAAUACUUGGAUGUCAGCUUCAGAGGAUGUGAAGAUGAAGAAAUUGGCGAAUCAUUUCCAGAAGAGGGGCUGCUGCCAACCACUCUCACUUCUCUCGGAAUCUACAAUCAUCCGAAUCUGAAAACCAUUGACGGCAAGGCGUUAAGACACCUCAUCUCUCUCGAGAAGUUGGAGAUUUAUUAUUGUCCUCAACUCCAGAGCUUGCCAGAUGAAGGGCUACCCACUUCUCUUUCUCGUCUAGAUAUCUUCCCAGUGUGAUUGCUAAAACAACGGUGCCAGAGAGACACGGAAGAAGAUUGGGCCAAGAUUUCUACAUUCCCAACAUAACGAUUUCUGGCCGAAAGAUAUGAUUUGCAAUGGUACGUAAUUCGUCAACGUGCGUUUAUGUGUUUAUUUACGAUCUGGCUGUGAAAAAUUUAAAUCAUAAACAUGUUUCAAAUGUUAAUAUUCUCGUAAUAACAAAUUUUACAGGUACUCCAGUCCCAUAUAAACAUGAAAGUAUUUGCGAUAGAAACAUACGGAGCUACAAAAAUUCCAGAUGACUCGUUCAUUCUCUCAUCUUGUUACUCUUCGACAUGUGGAUUGUGAAUAUUGUUUUUCAAUGCCAGCAUUGGCACAGCUACCAUCUCUCAGAAGGCUUGAAACUGAUGGGUUAAAUGGAGUGGAAUUGUUCCUCGUUUCUUACUGUGUCUUACGGUGGUUCUAUUAUACCACAGUUUGUUGAACGAACUAGUCUUCGGUGAAAAACGAGCUUCAACAAGUUUACGAGCCCUAGUUUCCGAAUUUCCUUUUUCAAGUUUGUUUGCCAAAUUAUGUCUAUUGAGAGGUAGAUUUUGGUACUUUGUGGAAUUCGAAUUCAAAUGUUUGGUUUGUAAAAUAUGGAUGAUGAUUUCGUUUCUGUGGAACUGUGAAUCUAUGAUCAUGCUUGAAUGUUGUAAGCCCAGAGUAUCGAAAACCCUCGGUUGUCUACUAAUCGAUCUCAAGCGGCCUAAAUUCGAUUUGUUUAAUUAGUAUUGCAAGAUGAUCUUAUCUACUAAUCAUGUCUUUAUCAAAUGAUUACCACUUCAUCAUGCCCUCAGGGAUGCACAGAGCUUCAAAAGUUUUCAAGUUGCUUCGCAUGUGUAGGUUUGAAGUCGUGCAAUGAUAUGUACGCGAAACUUAUGAGCAAACAAAAGUAAACAACUCCUAUGCAUAAAUGUUGGCUGCCAGAAAAUCUCAGUAGUACCAGAGAAGAUAAGCUUGUAAUAAAUUUCUAAUUCUCAAAACAGAGGAAACAAGAGAAAGAAGAUCUACAUAUAAGUGCCCCUAGUUGGCCGGCACACAUGAUUUCUUUUAUGAGCAUGUUCUUCAUUAUGGUGCUGUGUCCGACAUGCAUAUCCAUACCAGCAAUUUUCCCUGUUUGAUGCCUCUGUGGGUAGAUGAUAUUUGGGAAUCGAAAUCCGAAACCAGUACAAGAGCAAGGAGAUCAGCUUCUCAUAACAGUAAUUGCACGUAGGUGUCCCAGAAGUUAUUGCCUCAGCAUGAUUCUGGGGCAUCCUCGUUCGAUCAAUUUCUCUGUUGUUCAACUUUGCAAGCCAUUCUGCAAUAACAUCCUGCAAUGUUCUUCCCAACAGUGCAAUACAUUUCUCAGUGAUAACUUGUUCAUGUCGAUUGUUUUCAUGUGCGGAAGUAGGGAUUCUAGAGAUGGUCAGUUCUGAGAUUGGUUUAAAAGUCUCGCGAAUGCACACACAGCGAGAAUCACUUUGUGCAACCCCUGCGUGCCAAUAUGUACCACAAAAUGCCUGAUCACAUCCUAAACAGUGUUGAGGUACACUGUUAUUACUUCAUGAGGCGUCAUUCCUUCGCAUGCUUGACAUUGCAGAUGGAUAGUGCUUUGAUUGCAAACCCCACCAUAUUCAGUACCACAUUGAGGGCAUAGAUUUGACGCAGUACCAGCUUCAUCAUCCACCUGAGGGCGAGCCCUUAUUCCUUGAAGAUGUUUUCCAAAGUUUACAAUUCAGAUUAUAUCGUAUUGUCGCAUAAUAGUCUAAAAUUUCCACUUCGUCAUUGGGGCAAAAAAUCCGCUUUUAGUAUUUCCUCCGCAAUGUUGAGCAAGAAGUGAUCAUUUACUACAAUAUCUUCUCAUUGUGUUUUGUUCUAAUAGUUGUCCUAUUUGUUUCUUUUGUCUACCGUACUUUAAACUACCAUCACGAACAUACGAAAUUACUGUCUAUAGAGCUUUUCGGUUUUCUGGUAUCUGUUACAGCUUAAUACUAGAAAAAUUGCCCCCGCUCUGCUGUGGGGUUUCAAACUAUAAUUGACAACAGCCAUGAAUAAUAUUCAUAGAAAAAUUCACUCAAAAGGCAGCAGCAACACAAUCGCAUUCUCAAAUGCAGCAAUUUAGACAACGCACAUUUUACUUGAGUAAUUCCCACAAAAUCACAAAUUAACAGUCAUCUCCAAAUAAUUGAAAAAUCAAGAGAUAGGUGAAUCGAUACGGUAAAAUAAGCAGUUCAAUUUGAUUUUACAUUCUAUUAAGUUAACAUCAAGAGCCAAUAUAUUUAUGGUUAUGGUUUUCAAUCAGUGUUUUAUUGUCUUCUUUUUAAAUUAGUGGUUCUUUUCAAAUACAAAGUUUAGUCUUCUUAGCAAAGUCAUUAUUUUUUAUAGUGGUUGGUUGAAAUAAAGAGGUAGUAUGAAAUUGUGACCAUUAGACAAUAGUAUGGCUGUGAUCUAAUAGUAAAUGACCUUAAUUUCACACAUAAGUUUGGUUUCAAACUUACUACAUAAAAACAAUGUCAACUUGCAAGACACUAUAUGAACUGGCUGGAUAGCUAGUUGAAUAAGCUUGUUCCCCUGUUUUCCCUUUCUUUUGAGUAAUUUCCUCCUUCCCCUCCCUCCCCCCAAACCAUCUUCAUCCCAUUUUGCACUUUCCCAAAAGCCUUUUCUCUAUCCCCGUCUUCACUUUAUCACAUGCUUUUUUAUCCUAGCCAUAAUUAGACUAAUGGGAUUUAUACCUAGAGACUAAUGUGCUUUUUCACAUGCUUUUUUCUCUCAAAAUUUAUAGAAAUAUGAAAAUGAUCAUCACAAAUUUCAAAUCCUGCAAUAACCUAAAUUAAAACAAUUAUUCAAAUUCCUAAAUUAAAACAGCAUUUAGAAGCACUAUAAACUCAAAUCACAAACAUCAACAACAUGGUGAGAAUGAAGCUUUAUCUUAUAGAAAAUGAUAAAUCUUUCUCAACCAAUAUGCUAAAAAUGUCCACCACCAGUAUAUAAUAAAAAAACAGAAGGCUAACUUCAUCACAUAGCACCACCUUUAAACGCAUUUCUUUCAGAAAUUAAAUUAAGAAAAAAUUUGACAUUCACAUGCCACUCAUUAAGAAACUAAUACUAACUGAAGUUGUAUAUUGUAAAAUGCAACCGCUUUUAGAAUUCCUAAGUCAUAUCUGUUAGCAAGAAACCCAUACUAACUCAAGUUGUAUAGUGUAAUAACGCAACUGCAAAAAGACCAAGCUUCUGCUACUAAAAAGCUUUUACAAAAUCAUAAAACUCUUAACAGUUUGAACCCUACCGGAAAGUUUAUAUGAGUUGAAGAACAGUUGUACUUAAGUGCAGCAAGAUCAUAACCUCUUGCAGUUUCUCCUCCAUGUCAAAACCACCUGCAGUCCAAAUUAAGAAAGAUUCAAUGCCAGAUCAAGAACAAAAUAGUAAUAAUUUAAACUAAAAUCCUUAAUUAUUGUUGCAGAGAGAAUUCAUAUCAAGAUUAACUACAAUAUUUAAUUCGAACGGAAUCCAAAAGUAGCAUAAAUAUGAAAGGUAAAAAAUUAAUAGCAAAAGUCACAUUUCAGCAGCGAUUAAUAGCAGAAAUCAAAGUUCAGUGGCAGGGACCAAAUAAACCUCUGGAUUUCAGACUACUUAACAAAUUAGACAAACACAUAAUCCAAUUUCAUCUUUUUCCACUCAUUUUUUUCUUGCAACACUGUUGGGCACCAAACAUCACCAAAACCGAGCUCGCUGACACAUAAAUAAGCUACCGUACACUUUUUGAUGAGGUUGGCAGAGAGCUCAAUUUAGUGGCGCUCGUACCCUUUGAAUACGUCGCUCGUCUUUCCCUAAGUUUCUCUCUGCAUUCAACCCAUCACACAAUUUCAACAAUAAUUCAGUUUGAACGAUCUGAAAUCAAUGGAAUCGGAAGUAAAUACCUAUUUCGAUCGGAGAUUUGAAUGGAUCGCCGGAGACGAUGGCUGAAGAGCAGUGGCGGGUGUUUAUUUUUUGUUCUAGGUGGUGGUGGCGGCGGCUUGCUGUCGAAGCGAUUGAAACGGAUGGAAACAACAAUGUGCGCGAAAGGAAACCUCUCUCUCUACAUGUGACCCUUCCUUUCACCGCCAAAAUAAAGCAUCAAAACACCUUGGUUGCUCCUGUUAGAAGAGCCUUACUUGCUACUGUUCAGUGCCCCCACCCCUCCCUCUUUCUCUCUGCCUCUGCAACCCGCCUCUCUCUUUCUAUUUUUGCCUUACCGAAUGUCAGACCAUCCUCAGUCAAUCAUGUCAGUGGAAUCCUCACAAAAUCCCUCACUCAAUCGGGUCAGUGAUAACCUCCCUCAAUUUCCUCCCUCACCCUCGGCAACACCACCACUCUCCCAAACCUGAGAAUGACCAAAAUACCCACGCAAUUUCCAAUCCGAUGCGUCGGAUUUAGAAAGUAGAUAGGAUAAAAUAGGCAUUUGACGUUCAGGGCUUUAACCCAUUCAAUGGUCACCAUCGAAGCCCACUUCGGGCCCAAAACCAACAGCCCUAAAAGACCCAAAUUAUGGUCAGCGGUAGAGAUGUAAAUAUUCAGCCAAAUCUGAUGGCAUUAUUGUAAGUAACGUGAAAUAGAGGGGCAAAAACUUGACUGUAGCUACAGUCAAAUUCUUCCUCAGUUUUAGAAUAGAUAAUGUUGAGCCUAUGACAGCCAAAAUACAUAGCUUGUUUUCUGUUGAGACGCUUCUCUCAUAUCUGGCCAAUUAAUGAAGAGCAAACUACGACACCAUUAUUCAAAAUUUGACAAAGUGAAGUUUUCCUCUAGGAAUCUUCACCUUUCAAGCUAUAUAUUUUCUGGUUCUCAAUUCUUACAAUUUUCAUUGUUUUGUUGCUAACUUGUUUACUCACCGCUAUUCAAAAUUUGACUCUUUCUUUUGCGCUAAGUUGAUUUGCCCUGAAAUUUGCUAAGAUUGCUCAAACGUAUUUCUUUUACAAUUUUCUCUUGUGUUUGCUUUAAUCGCGUACUGACGUUGGUGAUUGAGAAAAUGACAUUGUUGAUGUCAAUGCUCAACUUUACUGUUUACUUUUUGUAUAGCUAAGUUUAUUGUAGCUCGAGAUACGUUCUUUAUAUGUGAGUAAGUCUUCCACCAAAUCAGAAACUAAAGCGUUUUAUAUACGUUGAAACGUGAUUGGAAGAUGCGUUGUCAUCCAUUCUUUUCGAUUUCCUGUGCUUGAGUUAUAUUAUUUCCUCCAUGAUUUGAAGUCGUUUCCGAAGUAUAUUUAUUGGGAUUUUGAGAUGCGCGUUCUGGUACUUUUUGGAAUAUGACUUGAAACUUUCAGAGCAAGCGCAAACCAGAGUUUACCGUUCUAAUUCCUCUUUUGAUUAUACAGUUAUAUUCUCAAUUGUCAUUACCUCGAGAUUACUUGGUAAUGACGUGAUUACACAGUUAUAUUCUCAACUUGCUAUUACCUCGAGAUUACUCGGUGGUAGUGACAUGAUUACACAUUUAUAUUCUCAGCUUGUCAUCAUCUCGAGAUUACUCGACAAUGACAUAAUUAGAUUUCAGCUUACACUAGUUACGGCUAGUGUAUGAUUUUGUAUGCAUGUAAGAUAGUGUCAGAGACCCAUUAAGUGUGGUCCUUCGGGGAUGCAAUAAAUGUGGUUACUUGCAGGUGUUUUAAUUUGGGCUUAUCCCUAUUUCGGUAGAUUUUAAUAGUUGAAAACUUGAGUUAUGACUUUAUGCAUAUUAUGGAUUCGUCACCAAUCCACGUGAUGGCCAGCUGAUAGGAUUUUUAGUAUUUGCAUAAAGAGGGUUAAAAAUCAUACAAAAUACUUGUAAGAGAACAAGGUAGUUGUAGUAAAAAUGCUCAUGUAAGGUCGUUCCCACAAGGAUUAUCUAAAACAAUUUAUGUAAAAAUAAAAUCUUAGUUAAUUAUUUGAAAACAAAGUUUGAAAAGAGUGGUUUUUCAAUCUAAAUAAUAAAAACGAAUUUAAUAAAAGUAAUUGAGGAAAAUCAACAAGAAAUUAAUUUUAAAGAAAUCAAAUUAAAAAGAAAUGGCCUUGAGAAAUAGAUUUGUAAAAGCAUUAGGGUUCCACUGUCAUCUUAACAACUCUUUGUAGAUUCACUAAUUACUUAUGAAUUACACAUGCAACUUUGAAUGUUAGGUUUUCCUAAUGCAUAUUUAACUUGUGGCAUUCAAGAUAGAACGUAUAUCAAACAUGCAAUCCGUCUAUAGCAUUCAUAUCAAAUAUAAACAUGCAUGACUCAUUAUGUUUUGUGAAAACCCUUUGAAAAAUCAUGCUACCUUUAAGACAUGGCAUUCGCCCUAAUUGACUUACAAUUAUUAAUCAUAAGAAGCAUUCCUCAAUUUCAAGGUGACAUUCCAACAUAAAUUGCGUCUGAUUGCUUAUCUAAACAUUCUAAUGGUAGCAAAGCAUUAAAACAUAGAGACUAUUUAAAUGCAGUGAUUAAUAAUUCAAAGCAUGCAUACAUAAUAUCAUAAGCAAUAAAAUAAAAACCACAUAUUCAUGCUAAGGCUAAUGGCCCCACCCUAGCAAAAGAAAGUUAAUUAUGCAUAUUCAACCAAAAGAGUUUUAUUGAAAUAGAAAAAGAGUGAAAACACCUUGUAGAAUAAAGUUUGAAAAUCUCUUAAACUUUGGCCAAAAUUCUCUCUCAUAUAUCACGUUGAAAAGAAGAACAUAGGGCCGGCCACAAUGGCUUAUUUAUACUACUUAGAAAAUCCAAUCCUUCCUAGAAAAUGACUUAAAAUAAAAUUAGGAGACCAAAUAAAUUGAAAUAAAUUAGAAAACAUAAUCCUAAAUUGACUAGGAUAAUCAGCUCAAAAUCUGCACAACGACGUUUUGGAUCCAAAUCUCCUCCAAAAGUGGCCCAAAAUAGCUGGAUUUAAAGUUUCAAAUAAUCUGAACACUUCUCCAGAAGGUCAUGAACCCAACAGAGGUCAUCUUAGGCUCAUAAAAUCGUAAUUAAGCCAAAAAAGUCACUUUUCAGCAUCACGCAUUGCUUUUUUAUUUCAUCGCUAGAAAAUAACCACUUGGUAGAAAAAAACCAAAAUUUUGACACGAACGAGCUAAAGGACUCACGAACGUCCUCCAAUUUGAAUCAAUUUAAAAUUCACCCGUUUGAUCACGUUUUGCUCCAAAGGAUGUCAAAUGUUUUAUAUUGAAAAUAUAAAGUUAAGUAUCAAAAUUAUACCAAAAUAAUUACCAAAACAUACUAAAAUAGGAUAAAAUAUAUAAUAUGACAGACCAAAAAGCUAUAUGGUAGGUGUGCCUGCUUUGUGACUAAAGUUCGCUCUGCUUUUGACCAAAGGCUCCUCCAUGCCUUGUGAGAUUUCCAAUCAGCUUCCAGCCGCCAUAAUACGGCACUAUUAGUAUUGUAUCAUUAUAUCUAUACGAAAACUUCAGUUGAUGGGACACGGUUUACCAACAGUGAUUUCACGAAAAUACCUUUGGUUUUUCUUCCCUUUCCUGCUUUGCUUUUUAAUCUUAAACAGCGGAUUUACAAAUUUCCCCUUACUAUUUGUUGGCUGGGGGUGCCACUACCUCUUAGAAGAUACCUGUUUGUUCCAUUUGCGUCCAGAAUCUCCCCAGUUCUCUCUAUCACAAACCACGAACCAAAAAAUCCUCUCUCUAAAAAGACCACGAACCCCAGCACAAUCUCUCUCAAAACCUGUUAACCACAACACAAUCCGGUCCCGAUUCGAAGAAAGCUUUAAGCCCAGAAAAAGUUCGGUUUCAUGGUGAGUUCUCCUACCAAUUUGGGGCUUCUUUUUGUUUUUUCUUUUUUUCUGGGUAGCAUGCAGUCUUUUCUGAGUUAAUGGUCGAGGCUUUGUUAUAAAAAAGAGUAGUGGUUGUGGGUCAGUUAGGUACUCAAGAUUCUUGAAUUCUAGAUGUGUUGAAUUUGGUUUUUUUUUUCACUAAUGGUUUUUUUUUCACUAAUGGCUUGCUUCAUAGAAUUAAUACAAAUACAAAAUGGAAAAAUGAUUUUAAUCCAUAAAUAAUAUUCAAAUACUUGAAAAGUUUGUUUUAAAUUGGGUUUGGUUUCAUUGGUUUUUCUGAUUUUGAAACUUUUGUUUUCAGGCUCCAAAGGCUUUUAGGGGCCUGUUUGGUAUGAUAUUAAAAAAAAAUCAUUAUUUCUCAAAACAGUUUUUUAAGAAUAUCUUUUAAAAACAAUUUUCUUUUAAGAUUCAAAAAUUUGUUUAGUAUGAGAUUUAAAAUUAUUUUUAAAUCUUAGAUAAGAUUGCUGAAAUUAAGUAUGGUUCCUUUGCAGGGGAGUUUGUUUUGAUUUUUUGUGGAAGAAUUCCAGUUUCCAGCGCUUCGUAUUCUUCAAUUACAGGUAAAUGAAUGUUGCAUGUGAAAUUUUUUUUCAACAAAUAAAGAAAACCCUUUCGUUGGGUUGGGCGAAGCCAUAUUGCUUCUAUUGGCAUAAAACUAUACAGCUGAAGAUUUUCUGUACUUAAUUAUCAAAGUAUGCGGUGGUUUGAUAAUUAAGUACAGAAAAUCUUCAGCUGAUAUCCUUCUUCUCUUUGCGUGAUAAAAUCAUGUUUUUUGGAUUAUGAUGCUUAUUCUGAUUCUUAUCUGUAAACCAUUGAUGAUAUAACAUUAUAGGCUUGGGGUAGUAGGUUUUGUAGUCUUUUUCCUGAAAUAUAACUGAGUACUUCAUAAUCGUUGCAUUCCUUGGUUUGUGAUUUUGUUGCUCGAGUACCGAGGUUUAUCUUUUGGUGCUCUCUGAUUGGUUCUCACAUUUGAGUCAUCUCACCAAAUCAUUAAUGUAGAUUUCCUCUUGAAAUUUUAGGUAGGUGGCGAUCUCUGCUUGGCUCUAUCAGUUGAUUCACAUAACCUAAUAAUUGAAGUCUUCUUUUCCUUGGGUCGGAAAAAUGGCAAUAAUUCUACUUGAGUUGAUAUUUCUUAAAGAAAAACUAAUGAAAAAAAAAUCAAAUCUUUACAUUUUAAUAAAAAAUCAUCUACUAACUUUAUUUAAUGAUAAAGACAAAAGAAUUAAAAAAAAACAUAAAAAACCCAACUUGCGCUGGGCGCAUCCCCCAACCCCCUUCCACACUCCACUUUUUUUGAUUGUUUGAUACAUUAAUAUAUUUUUUAUUUAUUUUAUUUUUGCUAAAAUAAGAAAAAGAGUUCAAACUGAAUUACAUUCCCCAGUUUUAUAUUUGUGGUGUUUUUUUCCCAAUAAUAGUCAAGAUGAUGAGAAAUUUUUCAAUGUGACCGGAGCACGGGGUGGUACACCACGUGUCUCUAUACAAGUUGUGAGAUUCUUGUGUUAAAAAAUUAAGUACACAAAAAAUAAAAAUUUUCACUACUUACAUAAUAACACGUGGUGUGCCACUUGUGUUAUGGGCACAAGGUAAAGUUUCUCCAAGAUGACACUCAAGCUCAAAAAAUUGGAUGGAGAGUUACAUUUAUUUUUGUAGGUAUGUAAAAAAAUGUGAGGAAAUUUUAAUUUAGUAAUUGAAAACAACUUUUUAAAUAUAAUUUUCGAGAACAUAAUCUUCUCAAGGAUUUGAUCUAAUGGAUCAUUUAUGGGUUUAUCGUUUUGGGCGCAAUGAGUGCUUUUACAGGACCAAAAAGAGUAAGUUUCAAACCUUAUGAAACUGAACCAAGAAGUAAACACUAUUUAUAAAAGUUGACCAAUAAGCAGACACUAUUUAUGAAACUAAAUCAAUAAGCAGACACUAUUUAUGAAAUUGAACCAAUAAGUAUACACUAUUUAUGAACGAAAACAAGAAUUAGACAUUAUUUCUAAAACUAAACCAAUAGAUGAAAAUUAUUUAUGAAACUGGACUAUACAAUAUUUACGAAACUGGACUAAGAAUUAGACAAUAUUUAUGAAACAAGAUCAACUAGGCAUUAUUUAUGAAAGUUGGCAAAUAACUAGGCACUAUUUAUGAAACUGGACCAAGAAAGAGACUAUUUAUGAAAUUAUACUAAUUACUAUACAUUAUUUAUAAAACUGGACCCAAUAACUAGGCUUUAUUUAUCAAACAUGAUCAGGAACUAGACACUAUUUAUGAAACAUAAUCAAGAUUUGGACACUAUUUAUGAAAUUGGACUAAUAAAUAUUGUAAUACCGUUCAGAUACUGCAAUUUAAUACAGUGUUUGGUUUCAUGCAUGCACGGGUCUUGUGUGUUAGGUAUUUUUUAUUUUUAAUUUAUAUAUAUAUAUAUAUAUAUAUUAAAAUUGUAUCAUUUUCAUUAAAAUUUAAGUUAUUUUGUCCUUUUGGAAAAUGUACCCAUGUUUUGGUACAAUAAAUUUUUUACUAUUAUUUAUGAAUGUAUAUACACAAUAUAUUGGAGAGUAUAAUUUAUCAUUUAAUAUUUUUAAUUCCACUAAUUAUGGGUUUUAUUUAAAAUCUCAUAAAUAUAAACAAUUAUAACUACAAAUUUCAAUUUUCAAUUUAAGCAUAUAAUAACUUACAUAUAAAUACAUUAUUUCAUUAAUGUCAGAGACCUAGAUCAAAAGCUGAAAACCAACAAGUUUAAUAUAAGAUCCAUUCUUAGUAUAACAUGUACCCAUUUCUUUUUAUAUAAGAUCCAUUCAAUUUUUUUCUAAUCUAUAUUUUAAACUUCUAUGGGUAUAUUCUAUUUUGUUGAUCUAAGAAUGUAUCCCUGUCAAGUUUAAUCAAAGAAAUUUAAUAAUGUUAUUAAGUCUUUUUUUUUUUUUUGUGGUUUUGGAAAAUGUACUCAUGUUUUGGUACAAUAAAUUUUUUUACUAUUAUUUAUGAAUGUAUAUACACAAUAUAUUGGAGAGUAUAAUUUAUUCUUUAAUAUUUUUAAUUCCACUAAUUAUGGGUUUUAUUUAAAAUCUCAUAAAUAUAAACAACUAUAACUACAAAUUUCAAUUUAAGAAUAUAAUAACUUACAUAUAAAUACAUUAUUUCAUUAAUGUCAGAGACUUAGAUCAAAAGCUGAAAACCAACAAGAUUUCAGUUAAAGAACAAUGAUAGUUAGGGACCGCAUCCAAACUCUCCCCUUAGAAAAUUAUUAUUCUAAGCAAUGCACAUCUAAAACUAUGAUAUCUCAUCUUAUCAAUCUUAGAUUUAAAUAGUGACUAGAGAUUACAAAGAGAGAUGAAAACAAGUUUAAUAACAAUUAACGAUUUUGUUAUUGCAUGAUUCAGUGAGUUUCUUACUAAAUAACAUCGUAGAGGAGAAAUGAUCACUUGUAGGAAAAUGAUUCAAUGAGUUUGUUACUAGAUAACAUUUGAUUCAUUUUUUAUUUGCUCAAUAAAACGAUUAAAAAGAAAUUAGAGUGUGUAUAAGUAACAAAUUAAUGAGAGUUUGUAAACUGUAAAAAGAAAUGAGAGUAUGUAAUGGGAUCGUUAGCAACAUAAUCAAGAAUAAUCAUAUGUUUAUCUCAUUGAAUCAGCAUUUUCUAUUUGUCAAAGAAUAAGACAAACAUAAUGAUGUCUAAAUUCUGAAGUUGGAAUACAACUAUGAUUCAUUGAGUUUCUAUUUGUCAGAAAAUGUAAGUUGAUGUCUAACUUCAGAGUUGUACGGCUGUAGAGUAUGCUAUUUAUUUCAUCUUAUACUCCAUAUUUGUGCUUAGAGAUAAAGCAAAAGGAUGUAUUAGAAACUUCAUCAAGCAGCCCUUUUGUUUUAAUGGUUUUCCGGUUGAUGUUUUGUUUAAUGGUUGCUCUUUUGCGACUAAAUUGGUGGUUUCAUAUAUUAAGUUCAAUUGUUAAAAAGUAGAAUUUUUCUUCGGUUUGGACGGUAUUUUUUCAUAUAUUUAAUUACUUACAUAACUUGAUCGUCUUUGUUUCAACUCUGUUUGCGUUAUGAAUAGCAGCUCUUUCCAAUUUAACAUGGAUUUAUUUUUACAGUGUAAUUAUCUACAGAAAAUUUCUCUAAAGAUGCUGACAAUGGAGGGACACUGAUUCUGAACACAGUGGGCAAGUCUUUACAAGCUAAUUCCGUAGGUAAUAGAAACUACGCCUUUUCUCUCUGCUUGCAUGCUUUUUAACAUAGAGAGAAAUUGAAAUUGUACUUUAGAAUUAGCGUUCUUUUUGAUGAUCUACUGCCUGGUAAGGGUUCUUGAAAUUGUAUUUUAGAAUUAGUAUUUUUCUUGAUUCAAAACAAAAGGUCUAUAAUUUCCUUCCUACAUUCCAUGUAUGUACAUAGUAUUGCGUGUCGUAAAUAUAUUUACAAAUUUUACAUGUUUUAUACGGUUUUGAAACCCUCAACAUAAGGGACCUAUGUUUCAUUUGUAUUUAUUUUUAGAACACUUCCAGCCCAGCCAAGUCCCCUGAGCGAUGAGCUUUGGAAUCCCCCUACCAAGAAAAAAAAAAAAACGGCAGCUCCAGCCCAUUCCAAUAACCUGGGCUCCCCUGGAUCCCCCACUUUUCCCCCAGGUCCGAAUUGACUGGCCCACUUUGAUGUUAGCCCUGAUUAGAAAAAUACAAAAAAUACAAAAAGUUAUAAAUUUUUUCUAUAAAUAGCUAGCCAUAUUUUUCCACUUUACAUCACAUUUCAAUAUUUUCAAAUACUUUUUAACCAAUCUUUUAUUGUCAUUUGAAAUUAAAAAUAAAAUUAUUUAUUAUUUUAUUAAAAAAAUAUUUGGUGGAGAUGCAUUUGGACAAUUACUGUUCACUAAAGGCCGUUACUAACUUACUAUUCACUUUGACCGAUUGGGCUGCCGACGAGAAAUGACUCCAAACGCAUCUACUUUUGUGUUGAAUUAGUUUAUUUGUUUAAACUACAUAAAGUCAAUUCAAUAACUCUUGGUUUGAAUUAGUUUAUUUGUAGCGAAAACUAACCAUGGUUUUCGUUACAUUGAUAUUGCUAGCUAAUUUGUGAUUAUCUUCUCCCAGCAAAACUCAAUUCCAUUUGCAAAGAAGAGAUCGAUCAUGGCGUUGGAGGUGGUAGGUGGAGCCGCUCUCUCAGGUUUCUUCCAGCAAGUAUUGUGAAGUUGGAUUCUCAGGAGGUCAAGAACUUCAUUAGAGGAAAGAAAUUGACUGAUGGGUUGCUGGAGAAGUUGAGCAUCGAGUUGAUGUCUGUCGAUGCUGUUUAUUAUGAUGCCGAGCAAAAGCAAUUACGUGACCCAAGGGUGAAGCAGUGGCUGCAUAAGCUUAAAGAGGCAGUCUUACGUGCUGAGGACCUACUGGACGAGAUCAAGACAGAAGCGUUAAGGCGGAAAAUUGAAGCAGAAUUUGGAAGUUGCACAAGCAAGGUACAAGACCUCAUAUCUGCUUCUUUCCAUGCUUUUGAUGAGUCUGUAGACACCAAGAUAGAGGAAAUUCUUGAGAGGCUAAGCUCCAUUUCAAAACAAAAGGAUGUUUUCGGUUUGAAAGAACGUUGUAGUCACAGAAGCUCACAAACAUUGCCUUCAACUUCUUUAGUAGAAGGCUCUGAAGUGUAUGGAAGAAAUCAUGACACGGAAAUCAUCAUUCAAUUGUUGCUAUCAGAUGAUGUUACUUGUAAUACGAUUGGCGUCAUUCCCAUCGUGGGCAUGGGUGGGAUCGGAAAGACCACCCUUGCUCAGCUCUUAUACAAUGAUGAGAGAGUGAAGCAGCGUUUUGAGCCCCGAGCAUGGGUAUGUGUUUCUGAUGAAUUUGACAUUGUUAAGAUCACACAAACAAUUUAUGCAUCAGUCACUUCACAAACCUGUGAUUCCACAGACCUAAACCAACUUCAAGUCAAACUCAAGGAUGCUUUGGCGGGGAAGAAGUUUCUUUUUUGUUUCUUGAUGAUGUUUGGAACGAGAAUUACAAUAUUUGGGAUUCCUUAAGGCGCCCCUUCGAGUCUGGAGCUUAUGGAAGUAAGAUCAUUGUCACCGCAAGGAAUGAUGGCGUUGCAUCUACGAUGGGUACUCUUCAAACCCACUAUUUAAAGCACUUACUUGAGGAAGACUGUUGGUUUCUGUUUUCCAAGCAUGCCUUCAAAGAUGCAAGUGUAGAUCCAAAUCUUGAGGAAAUUGGAAGACAAAUUGUUAGCAAGUGUAAAGGCCUUCCUUUAGCUGCAAAAUCUCUCGGUGGUCUCUUACGCUCUGAAUCAAAUGUGGAGGAAUGGGAAAAUGUGCUAAAAAGUGACAUAUGGGAGUUCUCAGAUGCAAAGAUUGACAUUUUGCCGGCUCUAUGGCUAAGCUACCAGUACUUGUCUCCGGAGCUGAGGCGUUGUUUUGCUUAUUGUUCCAUAUUUCCCAAAGAUUAUAAAUUUAACAAGUCUAAAUUAAUUUUGCUGUGGAUGGCCGAAGAUCUUUUACAACCCCAAAAGAAGACUAUGUUGGAAGAUGUUGGAAAGAAAUACUUUGAUGAUCUAAUCUCACGGUCAUUUUUUCAAUACUCGUCUUCAAAUGAUUGUUUCAUCAUGCAUGAUCUGAUGCAUGAUUUGGCGACAUACGUGUGUGGGGAAUUUUGCAUUAGAUUGGAAGACCACGACUUCUCAUUGGACGUUGUGAGCAAGGGUCGUCAUUUUUCUUAUUUGCAAUAUUCAUCUAAUGUUGAUUAUAAGAGAUUUGGCACUAUUUAUGAAGCUAAGUAUCUGCGCACCUUCAUUCUUGGCGUUCUCUAUUCGCCGACAGUACAACUUGAUCUCAUUUUAAUGCUACAGUGUUUAAGAGUUCUCAAACUACGUGUGCAUGAUAUCACGAAGUUGCCUGAUUUGAUUAGCAACUUGAAGCAUCUACGGUACCUCGACUUGUGUAACACUCCAAUCCAGAAAUUACCGGACACGGUAUGCAGUUUGUGUAAUUUACAAACGUUGUUGUUGUCAAAUUGUACAUGUCUAGCUGAGUUGCCCACCGAUUUGAGAAGACUUAUCAACUUGCGCCAUCUUGAUUUGAGAGGUACGAAAAUAAAAAAGAUGCCCCCCCCACAUGGGCAAGUUGAAAGAUCUCCAAACAUUUGGAGGUGAGUUUGUCUUGAGCAAAGAUGCUGGGGGAUACAUUGAUGAGUUAAAGGGGUUUCAGCAUUUGAGUGGAAAUCUUCAUAUUUCAGGGCUUCAAAAUAUCAAACAUGCUGAGGAUGCUUUGGAGGCCAAACUGAGGGACAAGAAGCUCAGUGAAAUACGUUUGGAAUGGGAAGGUGACACUGCUGAUUCUCAAAACGAUAGCCGAGUGCUAGGCAACCUGCAGCCCAAUACAAACCUAAAGGUGCUGGCUAUAAAGGGAUACGGAGGUAUAAAGUUUCCAGGUUGGUUAGGAGAUGAGUCUUUCUCUAAUCUCAUCACUCUCCGACUUGAGAAUUGUGGAUAUUGUUUCUCCCUGCCAACAUUGGGGCGGCUAACGUCCCUCAAAAGGCUUGAAAUUGAUGGGUUGAAUGGAGUGGAAUUAGUGGGGUCUGAGUUUUAUGGGCCUGCAUUUAAAACUCUGGAGUUUCUGAGUUUCCGCAGUAUGCGGGAAUGGCAAGAGUGGUGUUUCC
This 31207-nucleotide long non-coding RNA is filed under the name Malus domestica (apple). Its description in RNAcentral is "long non-coding RNA (MDOM_LNC018681)". The record is from RNAcentral. Lineage: Eukaryota; Viridiplantae; Streptophyta; Magnoliopsida; Rosales; Rosaceae.